RNAcentral lists this ribosomal RNA (897 nucleotides) under Ophiostoma macrosporum. RNAcentral's name for it is "LSU rRNA". It matches the Rfam family "Eukaryotic large subunit ribosomal RNA", at positions 38 to 965 of the family's 3401-position model. The record is from RNAcentral. Lineage: Eukaryota; Fungi; Ascomycota; Sordariomycetes; Ophiostomatales; Ophiostomataceae.
GCAUAUCAAUAAGCGGAGGAAAAGAAACCAACAGGGAUUGCCCCAGUAACGGCGAGUGAAGCGGCAACAGCUCAAAUUUGAAAUCUGGCCUUCGGGUCCGAGUUGUAAUUUGGAGAGGAUGCUUCUGGCGCGGCACCGUCCGAGUUCCUUGGAACAGGACGCCAUAGAGGGUGAGAGCCCCGUACGGGCGGCUGCCUAGCCUUUGUGAAGCUCCUUCGACGAGUCGAGUAGUUUGGGAAUGCUGCUCAAAAUGGGAGGUAAAUUUCUUCUAAAGCUAAAUACCGGCCAGAGACCGAUAGCGCACAAGUAGAGUGAUCGAAAGAUGAAAAGCACUUUGAAAAGAGGGUUAAAAAGUACGUGAAAUUGUUGAAAGGGAAGCGCCUGUGACCAGACUUGCGGCUCGCGGAUCAUCCAGUGUUCUUCACCGGUGCACUCCGCGGGCUGCAGGCCAGCAUCGGUUUUCCUGGGGGGACAAAGGUCGCGGGAACGUAGCUCUUUCGGGAGUGUUAUAGCCCGUGGCGUCAUGCCUCCGGGGGGACCGAGGACCGCGCUUCGGCAAGGAUGCUGGCGUAAUGGUCACCGGCGACCCGUCUUGAAACACGGACCAAGGAGUCAAGCAUUGGGGCGAGUGUCUGGGUGCCAAACCCGCACGCGAAAUGAAAGUAAACGCAGGUGAGAGCUUCGGCGCAUCACCGACCGAUCCUGAUGUCUUCGGAUGGAUUUGAGUAAGAGCCUUACCGCUUGGACCCGAAAGAUGGUGAACUAUGCCUGUAUAGGGUGAAGCCAGAGGAAACUCUGGUGGAGGCUCGCAGCGGUUCUGACGUGCAAAUCGAUCGUCAAAUAUGGGCAUGGGGGCGAAAGACUAAUCGAACCAUCUAGUAGCUGGUUACCGCCGAA